Molecule: ribosomal RNA, 20 nt
Filed under: Scopulariopsis brevicaulis (arsenic fungus)
Lineage: Eukaryota; Fungi; Ascomycota; Sordariomycetes; Microascales; Microascaceae
Description: partial 28S ribosomal RNA
Source: RNAcentral
GGUUUGACCUCGGAUCAGUA